Molecule: ribosomal RNA, 253 nt
Filed under: uncultured bacterium
Lineage: Bacteria
Description: partial 16S ribosomal RNA
Rfam family: Bacterial small subunit ribosomal RNA
Source: RNAcentral
UACGGGGGGUGCGAGCGUUGUCCGGAAUCAUUGGGCGUAAAGAGCGCGUAGGCGGCUCGGUAAGUCCGCUGUAAAAGUCAAAGGCUCAACCUUUGAAUGUCAGUGGAAACUGCCGGGCUAGAGUCCGGAAGAGGCGAGUGGAAUUCCUGGUGUAGCGGUGGAAUGCGCAGAUAUCAGGAGGAACACCAACGGCGAAGGCAGCUCGCUGGGACGGUACUGACGCUGAGGCGCGAAAGCGUGGGGAGCGAACAGG